UGGUUGGUGGAUAAUCGAGACAUAUUUUACAUCUAUAUAUCCUCAUUUCUGUAAAAUUUAAUUGGACGUCCAUCCUGACUAGGCCCAUUUAUGCCAGCUGCCAACUGUUAACAUGGGCAAUUUACCUCUCACAGAUUUCACUAGGCCUACACAUCUCCAAUGUCAAUGAACAGGCAAAGGGCAUUAAGUGGACCUACUUUAAUCCACACAAAUUAGACGAAAAGUAUUCAUAAUCCCGAAUUAAUGAAACUGUCGCGUCCUCGUGCUUUCAGCGAAACGCUUGAUGGUUUUGGGCGGCAAGCGCGUGCACUGGCGUGGAUUACGUGCGCCGUGCCAGAAAGCACUGGGGGCACGAGGCUCGUUCCCGCGUCCAACCACUGGCUGUGACGACCGGCUGCUCGACGGGUGUAACUCGAGCCCGCGGCCGCCCGUCAGUCAGAAAUAAAAAAUCAUUUGUCCGCAGCGGGCGCGCGGCUUGAUUAAAUAUUAAUAGCGGGAGGGAGACUGUUAUCCGGUGUCGCGUGAAAAGUGAUCCUCGGCCGCUCCGGAAGGGCAUCGUGGCCUCACGGGUGGACAAACGGAGACGCAGUGAAAGAACAAAGCACGGUGACAGGGUGACAUGUCCUCUCGCCAGAGAUCUUGAGAGAAAAAGGUGGGGCGAAAUGAUAACAAGGUUCACACAGGUCAAAGCAAAGUGAAUAAACAUGAACUCUCCCGUCCAUGCUCGAUCAAAGAGGAUGGUUACUGUGUCACAAAGGGACACGGACGCAAGCGAGGAAAGGGAUGAGGGCAUGGAGUGCAGUCUGGGAUGAACACUGACCUGGAAUGGAUCGGCUGUCAGAUAUUAUCAAGAUGUCUUGCAGCUGUAGAGUGUGUGUUAUCAUCAGGAUGAGAGUACAGACCAGUGAGGACAGCUAACAACCCCCAAACUUCCCAGCAAAAAUCCAGUAUCAAACCUCCUGUGUUCAAAAGAUCCUGUCUGUGUCACUCUCUUCAAAUCUCUUGAGCUUCAUGUCUUCCCUAUUAGUGUAUAUAUUCAGAUAGAUCUAGUCAGUGAAAUGUAGCCUGUUUUUUAACAAUACCCUGGCAACCACCCAAAACACACUAAUGCCCUUGUAAUUCCCUAGAAUUUGUUCAGAAUACCUUAGCAACCACAUAGUAAUACCCUGGCAACAACCCACAACACUACAGCAAUGCCCUAGCAACCACCAAGGUUAUUACCAUUAAAUAAGGCCAAUACACUCUAAAAAUAACU
Megalobrama amblycephala (Wuchang bream) is the source of this 1255-nucleotide long non-coding RNA. RefSeq lists it as uncharacterized. The transcript is spliced from 4 exons. The record is from RefSeq and is a predicted model, not a curated record. NCBI's taxonomy places the organism in Eukaryota, Metazoa, Chordata, Actinopteri, Cypriniformes, Xenocyprididae.